Molecule: ribosomal RNA, 492 nt
Filed under: uncultured bacterium
Lineage: Bacteria
Description: partial 16S ribosomal RNA
Rfam family: Bacterial small subunit ribosomal RNA
Source: RNAcentral
AGUGAACGCUGGCGGUAGGCCUAACACAUGCAAGUCGAACGGCAGCACAGUAAAAGCUUGCUCUUACGGGUGGCGAGUGGCGGACGGGUGAGGAAUACAUCGGAAUCUACUUUUUCGUGGGGGAUAACGUAGGGAAACUUACGCUAAUACCGCAUACGACCUACGGUUGAAAGCAGGGGAUCUUCGGACCUUGCGCGAUUGAAUGAGCCGAUGUCGGAUUAGCUAGUUGGCGGGGUAAAGGCCCACCAAGGCGACGAUCCGUAGCUGGUCUGAGAGGAUGAUCAGCCACACUGGAACUGAGACACGGUCCAGACUCCUACGGGAGGCAGCAGUGGGGAAUAUUGGACAAUGGGCGCAAGCCUGAUCCAGCCAUACCGCGUGGGUGAAGAAGGCCUUCGGGUUGUAAAGCCCUUUUGUUGGGAAAGAAAAGCAGCAGGUUAAUACCCCGCUGUUCUGACGGUACCCAAAGAAUAAGCACCGGCUAACUUCGUG